RNAcentral lists this ribosomal RNA (483 nucleotides) under uncultured bacterium. RNAcentral describes it as "partial 16S ribosomal RNA". It matches the Rfam family "Bacterial small subunit ribosomal RNA", at positions 30 to 507 of the family's 1533-position model. The record is from RNAcentral.
UUGAACGCUGGCGGCAGGCCUAACACAUGCACGUCGAGCGGAUGAAGGGAGCUUGCUCCCGGAUUCAGCGGCGGACGGGUGAGUAAUGCCUAGGAAUCUGCCUGGUAGUGGGGGAUAACGUCCGGAAACGGGCGCUAAUACCGCAUACGUCCUGAGGGAGAAAGUGGGGGAUCUUCGGACCUCACGCUAUCAGAUGAGCCUAGGUCGGAUUAGCUAGUUGGUGGGGUAAAGGCCUACCAAGGCGACGAUCCGUAACUGGUCUGAGAGGAUGAUCAGUCACACUGGAACUGAGACACGGUCCAGACUCCUACGGGAGGCAGCAGUGGGGAAUAUUGGACAAUGGGCGAAAGCCUGAUCCAGCCAUGCCGCGUGUGUGAAGAAGGUCUUCGGAUUGUAAAGCACUUUAAGUUGGGAGGAAGGGCAGUAAGUUAAUACCUUGCUGUUUUGACGUUACCAACAGAAUAAGCACCGGCUAACUUCGUG